AUCCCUUCAGGGACAUUCUAUAAAAUUGGAAUGAUGCAAAGAAAUUAGCAUGGUCCGAGCAAGGAUGGCACACACAAAGCGAGAUAUGUUCCAAAAAAAU
Molecule: small nuclear RNA, 100 nt
Filed under: Olea europaea subsp. europaea
Lineage: Eukaryota; Viridiplantae; Streptophyta; Magnoliopsida; Lamiales; Oleaceae
Source: RNAcentral